This 313-nucleotide unclassified non-coding RNA is filed under the name uncultured Thelephoraceae. RNAcentral's name for it is "sequence contains ITS2". Lineage: Eukaryota; Fungi; Basidiomycota; Agaricomycetes; Thelephorales; Thelephoraceae. The record is from RNAcentral.
AACGCACCUUGCGCCCUUUGGCUAUUCUGAAGGGCAUGCCUGUUUGAGUAUCAUGAACACCUCAACUCUCAUGGUUUGCCAUGAUGAGCUUGGACUUUGGGGGUCUUGCUGGCCUAUGGUCGGCUCCUCUUAAAUGAAUCAGCUUGCCAGUGUUUGGUGGCGUCACAGGUGUGAUAACUAUCUACGCUUGUGGUUUUCCACCAGGUAACCUUCAGUGAUGGAGGUUCGCUGGGGCUCACAAAUGUCUCUCCUCAGCGAGGACAGCUUUUUAACGUUUGAUCUCAAAUCAGGUAGGACUACCCGCUGAACUUAA